CGCGGCCUAUCAGCUUGUUGGAGAGGUAACGGCUCACCAAGGCAUCGACGGGUAGCUGGUCUGAGAGGAUGAUCAGCCACACUGGGACUGAGACACGGCCCAGACUCCUACGGGAGGCAGCAGUGGGGAAUCUUGCACAAUGGGCGAAAGCCUGAUGCAGCAACGCCGCGUGCGGGAUGAAGGCCCUAGGGUUGUAAACCGCUUUCAGUAGGGAAGAAAAUGGCGGUACCUACAGAAGAAGGUGCGGCCAACUACGUGCCAGCAGCCGCGGUGACACGUAGGCAUCAAGCGUUAUCCGGAUUUAUUGGGCGUAAAGAGCUCGUAGGCGGUUUGGUAAGUCGGGUGUGAAAACUCUGGGCUCAACCCAGAGAGGCCACCCGAUACUGCUAUGACUAGAGUACGGUAGGGGAGCGGGGAAUUCAUGGUGUAGCGGUGAAAUGCGCAGAUAUCAUGAGGAACACCAGCGGCGAAGGCGCCGCUCUGGGCCGUAACUGACGCUGAGGAGCGAAAGCAUGGGUAGCAAACAGGAUUAGAUACCCUGGUAGUCCAUGCCGUAAACGUUGGGCACUAGGUGUGGGUCUCAACCAACGAGAUCCGCGCCGUCGCUAACGCAUUAAGUGCCCCGCCUGGGGAGUACGG
RNAcentral lists this ribosomal RNA (639 nucleotides) under uncultured bacterium. Its description in RNAcentral is "bacterial SSU rRNA". It matches the Rfam family "Bacterial small subunit ribosomal RNA", at positions 232 to 885 of the family's 1533-position model. The record is from RNAcentral.